Molecule: long non-coding RNA, 1060 nt
Organism: Astatotilapia calliptera (eastern happy)
Lineage: Eukaryota; Metazoa; Chordata; Actinopteri; Cichliformes; Cichlidae
Source: Ensembl
GGGGGGGGGGGUGUUAUUACAUAAAGGGUGUGACGGACGGCUCGUGUGUGUCCUGUGCAGAGGUGUGGGGGGAGAGACAGUGUUUGUCUGAAGCACCGUGAGCUCCGAUCAAAGGCUGAGGGGGGAGUGGCUGGUCCGUCUGGAGAACCGAACCAAACACCUGAAGAACCUCAAUGACAACUACAUGAGGAAGAUGAAGAUGGAGCCGUCAGCUGACCAGACCUGAGCCCCCGAUAACUCGCCGUAGAGCUGCUGAGCCAACAACCGCGUCUCCUCCUGCUGCUGUGUGAGAGAAAUAAAGAGCUGGAAAAUAGACGCGUCUGUGAUUCAUUCAGAGUCAGAGUUUGAACGUUCUGUUUUAUUUCCUGCAUCUCAAACACAUCAGUGCAUCAGAGCCAGCAGUGUCAGGCUGUGCUGAUUCUGCAGCAGGUGUAAAGAUCACUGAGACUCACUCUGAAGCCUCUGACCGCCAACAUGGCGCCAUCUGCUGGACAAACAGGAACAAACCUCGAGGAGGGGCUGAACGUUCAGUCCAGUAAAGGUGGGAACAUGAAGGAGUUUCCGACGCCGGCCACAUGCAGCGUGUGAACCAAUAAAUAAUCUAUAAGUGACCAUUAGUGACAAAACCAUCAGUCCCCUUCAACACCAGCAAACAGCAGAGCUGGGUCAGUGUUUGGAACGUAACUGAAAUAAAAACAACUAUUAAAUAUUUUAAAUUCACUCUUCAGUCAUUUCAAGUUUUCUCACAGCAGCUUCACAAAUACAAACUUUUUAAGUUUUCAGUUGUUUUUCUACAGAAGCAUAAAAAAGUUAAUUUUAUGAAUUAUUCUCUGCAGAAUUUAAGACUUUGGCCACCAGGGGGCGUUGUUUCUGUUUAACAUAUGUUUAGGAAGUCAUAGUGACUUUUUCCCCACCAGUGUUUUUUUUCUUUAUUUUGGAAACUUUAGACUUAUUUAUAAACACAUAUAUUUAAAAAUAAUGACAAUAAUAAUUUCUGCUUUUUUCUCUUUCCAGCAGUGCAGCAUGCAGGGGGGGCUUUAAGGGGGCCCCAGCUGUACCA